Sceloporus undulatus (fence lizard) is the source of this 1210-nucleotide long non-coding RNA. RefSeq lists it as uncharacterized. NCBI's taxonomy places the organism in Eukaryota, Metazoa, Chordata, Lepidosauria, Squamata, Phrynosomatidae. The record is from RefSeq and is a predicted model, not a curated record. The transcript has 4 exons.
CAGCUAUCUGAAAAGCACAACACAAGAUUUGAUUAGGCGAGGCAGAACAGAGGGGUCAAUCAUGGGGGUUUGUCAGUUUUCAUUACUUUGUUCACUAUUGUCCAAGCACCUGAGACGGGAAGGCUACAGAAAGUUUGGAACCUGCCUCUGCACCAGUAAUUAAGCAUUAGUCAUGGAUUACUCUGGCUUCAAUAAACUUCACUUUGUCUGGUGAUAACUGGUACAUGGGACUAAAAAUCGAAUGUUCUCCUUUGGCAUGACAUAAAGAAUCAUCAUUUUCACAUUGUCAAGACCAGCAUUAUCUCCAUUUCUUCACCUCCUAUCUCAUGCUAGAUGGCAGCAUCUUAAGCCAACUUGUUCCAGACUAUCCAGCAUAAGCUGCUCUCAGUCCCAGUUUUGGGGAAAGGGUGAGAUAUAAAUAAAUACUGUAACAACAACAACAACAACAACUGAAUUAAUCUGCAGAAUACAGAACCUCCAGCUAUAAGAACUUCUUUUCAUUUUUCAUCAAUGUAUUUAUCAACUAGUACAAGCAAUGCACAAAGCAUUCAGCAUCUAUGGAGUGAGAAAGCAGCAAGGAUCAGAUUCUCUUGCAGCGCAUCCGUGUAAGCCACCCAACAAUGAUGGCUUGUUGUAAUAAGGGCACUGGGCUUUGCUGCCACAUUAUUUGAACAAGUGGAAGCUCAGCCUGCUGUGUAAUUAAUCCAGGGCUGAAUAAUGAAUUGCAGUUCCCAUGCCUGUAAGGGGACACUGACCUGAACCAGCAAAAACCUGUUACGCUACCAGCAGUUCCAAACUUUCCUAUUUUCUCAUGGCAGCAGUGUCACACAGUCUAGCAUCCAACUGUUAUAUAACUGUGUAUUUGUUUAGUUCCUUGGUCUCAUUCAACAACCAGCUGGAACAAUAGGGAAAAUAAUUUAAUAUUCAAUAAAAGACUUUUCUCUCAGAGUGGUGCCCUUUGGGAAGGGUAGAAGGGCAGCUUGAAAGCACAGUUUAUUUUCUCUCAGGACCCCAUGAUCAUUUUGCUUAUUAUGAACCAUAUAGUAAAGCAGAAGUUCCCUUAAAAUACAUUGCUUUCCUGUGACAUAUAAUCUUAAAAAGGCUUUUAAAUUCUUCUGUGAGCCACCUGAACAAUGAACCCUUAAAGCACUGCCCCUAGUUUCUUCCUUUGCAAUUUCUAUACAUUGACAGUUAUGUGGCCAUAGAAUUG